Long non-coding RNA from Corythoichthys intestinalis (scribbled pipefish), 1543 nucleotides. RefSeq lists it as uncharacterized. The record is from RefSeq and is a predicted model, not a curated record. The transcript is spliced from 3 exons. NCBI's taxonomy places the organism in Eukaryota, Metazoa, Chordata, Actinopteri, Syngnathiformes, Syngnathidae.
GUUGAAUUGUAUUAAAUGCAUCAUUCGUGGUCUCAAAAAGUCACAUUAAAAAGAAAAAAUAAUAAUUGACCGCGUAGUUUUUGAGUUAUGGCCAUAGCAACACCAUAGCAACGAGGGACGCGCCGUCCUGCCGACCGCUACCUCAUGACGUAACUUCCAGGAAGCUUCGUCAGUGUCGCCACCACUCUGAACACGGAAAUAUAGCACCACGCUAUCCUCGCCAUUUAUUGCAAGCCUUUUCUGGGUUUUACUCGCGGGAUUCGUCAUGCCAUCUCGAUGAGUAGCGAUGAAUUGCUCACAGGAAGACUCGAGACUCUAGGAGUGGUCCAAAAAAACUUCUCCUGCAAAGCCACAACAGCUUUGAAAACCUACAACAAUGCAACCUUGGUUUUACAAAUAUGAAGCCAAACAUUAAAAAUUAAGCGGUGGAAACCGUCAACACGAUGAAAAAAGCGUUGCAAGUCAGUCGCCACCCAGUUUCUCAAAAUCAAGAGAGAGUGGGUCGAGUCAUAUGAUGACCCAAGUGAUGCGGUGUCCAGCGAUGACGACUGAAGAGAUCCUAUGAGGCCUGCCAGAUGCUGAAUUUCUUCUGUCUGCGACAUCAGAUGAUGAUGACUUAGGAGAAAUAAAUGUAGCAAAUUUUGAUGAGAUGAAAUCAUAAACUAGUCAUAUAUACAGUACACAUUUUUAAAAGAAAAAAUACCUUCACAUUUUAAUGAUAAUGCAUUAUCUUUGUAUAGAGAACACUUAAUGCUACAGAAAAGAGUAAAUACAGUGGUACCUCUACAUACGAAGUUAAUCCGUUCCAGGAGCUUGUUUGUAAGUCGAAAUGGUCGUAUGUCGAGCAGGAUUUUCCCAUAGGAAUACAUUAUAAUUCCAUUAAUUCGUUCCACAGCCCAAAAACCUGCACUAAAUCCUUAAAAAAUACUGCUGGUACUAUUACAAAUGGCAAUUACAUAUAGCAAAACAAAAAAAUAAUAACUAAAAAUCGGAUUAAUAAUAUAAUAAUAAUAAUAAUUCCUGUAAUAGUGUAACGAAACGGGUUCUAAUAAGGCGGACGUUUUUUUCUGUACCUGAAGGCACCGCGGCGCUGACGUGACAAAGAGGGAGGGGAGCGGGUGAAAGUUUACUUUCGCUUUCAAUGCUUUCUUGAGAACAUCGUCAAUUGUGGCAGACAGCAGGCGUUUUGUGUUGAAUAAGUUGUGAAAGAAAUGAUGAAAACGUGGCGAAGCUGGCGAUUUCUCUGGAGAUGUUACCACAAUAAGAAUUGUCAGCUUAAUUUAUAAAGACUGGCGAACGAUGGUCGGAGGAGGAAAGUGGAGAUGUAUUGUUGAGCCAUUUCACGGAUGCCCACCCUACGCUCAUAUUUUUCUGUCAUUUGCAUCUUCAUUUAGAAGGUAAGCUUCAACUUUUUCCUUGUUUCACCACCUGUACCAACCUUUUCUGAAACGUGUUGAUUUGUCACACAAGAAAAUCCGCCGUGCAUUCGUUUGCGGUGCUGCCAUUGUCGUCGUAUUUCGAGCAUGUCGUCGGAUGUAGAAAC